CCUACGGGAGGCAGCAGUGAGGAAUAUUGGUCAAUGGGCGAGAGCCUGAACCAGCCAAGUAGCGUGCAGGAUGACGGCCCUAUGGGUUGUAAACUGCUUUUAUAAGGGAAUAAAGUGGGGCUCGUGAGCUCCUUUGCAUGUACCUUAUGAAUAAGGACCGGCUAAUUCCGUGCCAGCAGC
This 180-nucleotide ribosomal RNA is filed under the name uncultured bacterium. Its description in RNAcentral is "partial 16S ribosomal RNA". It matches the Rfam family "Bacterial small subunit ribosomal RNA", at positions 338 to 515 of the family's 1533-position model. The record is from RNAcentral.